Molecule: small nuclear RNA, 86 nt
Filed under: Marmota monax (woodchuck)
Lineage: Eukaryota; Metazoa; Chordata; Mammalia; Rodentia; Sciuridae
Description: U2 spliceosomal RNA
Rfam family: U2 spliceosomal RNA
About the family: U2 is a small nuclear RNA (snRNA) component of the spliceosome (involved in pre-mRNA splicing).
Source: Rfam by way of RNAcentral
AUCGCUUCUCGGCCUUUUGGCUAAGAUCAAGUGUAGUAUAAAAUACAUAUAUAAAAUACAUUUUAAAUUAUGUGCUCUCAUUCUAU